AGGGUCAGUCGGGAUUCGAAUCCAUGACCACUCGCACCCGAAGCGAGUAUCAUGCCCUAGACCACUGACCU
Molecule: transfer RNA, 71 nt
Filed under: Fasciola hepatica (liver fluke)
Lineage: Eukaryota; Metazoa; Platyhelminthes; Trematoda; Plagiorchiida; Fasciolidae
Description: tRNA-Pro
Source: RNAcentral